CUUUAACUGGCCAUUCACGAUGGGUCUGGGACUGCGUGUUCUCGGUCGAUGGUGCUUAUCUGAUAACAGCGUCUUCUGAUUCAACUGCGAGGUUGUGGAAUAUGGCAACGGGGGAAGAUAUCAGGGUGUACCAAGGACAUCACAAAGCAAUUGUCUGCUGUGCUCUCCAUGAUGGCGCUGAGACGCCUACUUGAUUAUCGAGGUUGUGUGCUCCCAUUCUGUACAUAACUGUGUUUU
This 237-nucleotide unclassified non-coding RNA is filed under the name Hevea brasiliensis (rubber tree). The record is from RNAcentral. Lineage: Eukaryota; Viridiplantae; Streptophyta; Magnoliopsida; Malpighiales; Euphorbiaceae.